UCUAAUAUGGCAGAAAUUCUAUGCAAUGAACUUAAAAUUCAUUUAUAAAGAUUAAUCUUUUUUUAGAA
RNAcentral lists this transfer RNA (68 nucleotides) under Tuberculatus sp. 5 XY-2019. RNAcentral describes it as "tRNA-Leu". It matches the Rfam family "tRNA". Rfam says of the family: Transfer RNA (tRNA) molecules are approximately 80 nucleotides in length. The record is from RNAcentral. Lineage: Eukaryota; Metazoa; Arthropoda; Insecta; Hemiptera; Aphididae.